UAGGGAAUCUUCCGCAAUGGACGCAAGUCUGACGGAGCAACGCCGCGUGAGUGAAGAAGGAUUUCGGUUCGUAAAACUCUGUUGUUAGAGAAGAACAGCGCAUAGAGUAACUGUUAUGCGUGUGACGGUAUCUAACCAGAAAGCCACGGCUAACUACGUGCCAGCAGCCGCGGUAAUACGUAGGUGGCAAGCGUUGUCCGGAUUUAUUGGGCGUAAAGCGAGCGCAGGCGGUCAAUUAAGUCUGAUGUGAAAGCCCCCGGCUCAACCGGGGAGGGUCAUUGGAAACUGGUUGACUUGAGUGCAGAAGAGGAGAGUGGAAUUCCAUGUGUGACGGUGAAAUGCGUAGAUAUAUGGAGGAACACCAGUGGCGAAGGCGACUCUCUGGUCUGUAACUGACGCUGAGGUUCGAAAGCGUGGGUAGCAAACAGG
RNAcentral lists this ribosomal RNA (429 nucleotides) under Bacteroidota bacterium. RNAcentral describes it as "Bacteroidetes bacterium partial 16S ribosomal RNA". It matches the Rfam family "Bacterial small subunit ribosomal RNA", at positions 355 to 776 of the family's 1533-position model. The record is from RNAcentral. Lineage: Bacteria; Pseudomonadati; Bacteroidota.